UGGUGGUGAGAGCGGUGGCCUUGAUAGAGGUUCCUUGAAGGUGGUGGUGAGGGUCUCUUGAUCCAAGGAAUGUGAUCAAUGCCACCUGGGAGUGAACUUAUCCUCCCAGGUGGCCCAUGACCCCCAGGGGCUGAGCGCCCUAUCAUGAGUAGUACUGAUAGUGAGGGUGUAGUAUUGCCAUCUAGUGGUGGUAGUCAGAGUUAGUCAUAUUACCAGUCAUUGUGUUAUAGUGAAGGUCAGGACAGUGACCAACCUCAAGGCCUCUAAAAAUCAGUUGAACUUUAAUGGUCGUACGGAGGAGAUGUGCUGCUCCUUCUCCUGCCACCCCCCCCCCCUCCCUUCCCCACCGCCGGCUUUACAGUUUCCUCAUCCUCGGUAACGUGUGGUAACAGGGUUGCUGUGCCUGGCUGCAACAUUGAUCAACAUAGCAACUUUGACCAGUCUGAGGGGUGGAGACAACUACACAAGUAUAUAACAUAUAACAUUGUAUUAUAUGGAGAUGCAGCAGUUGGAGACGUUGUUAGACGUGAGCAGGGCCCACUUGUAAAGUAUUUCCAGGUUAACGAUAUUGCCCACGCUGUGGGCAGCGGCUGUGUGGUGAAGUCCACGCUGUGGGCAGCGGCUGUGUGGUGAAGUCCACGCUGUGGGCAGCGGCUGUGUGGUGAAGUCCACGCUGUGGGCAGCGGCUGUGUGGUGAAGUCCACGCUGUGGGCAGCGGCUGUGUGGUGAAGUCCACGCUGUGGGCAGCGGCUGUGUGGUGAAGUCCACGCUGUGGGCAGCGGCUGUGUGGUGAAGUCCACGCUGUGGGCAGCGGCUGUGUGGUGAAGUCCACGCUGUGGGCAGCGGCUGUGUGGUGAAGUCCACGCUGUGGGCAGC
This is a non-coding RNA of Cherax quadricarinatus, 876 nucleotides long. NCBI's taxonomy places the organism in Eukaryota, Metazoa, Arthropoda, Malacostraca, Decapoda, Parastacidae. The record is from RefSeq and is a predicted model, not a curated record.